RNAcentral lists this ribosomal RNA (328 nucleotides) under uncultured eukaryote. Its description in RNAcentral is "partial 18S ribosomal RNA". It matches the Rfam family "Eukaryotic small subunit ribosomal RNA", at positions 1470 to 1796 of the family's 1831-position model. The record is from RNAcentral.
CCCUUAGAUGUCCUGGGCCGCACGCGCGCUACACUGAGUGUCUGAGAUACGAGUCUGCCUAGCCGGCGAGGUCUAGGUAAUCGCUGAAAGACACAUCAUCCUUGGGAUAGAUUAUUGCAGAUAUUAAUCUUGAACGAGGAAUUCCUAGUAAGCGCAAGUCAACAGCUUGCGUUGAUUACGCCCCUGCCCUUUGUGCACACCGCCCGUCGCUACUACUGAUUGGAUGUUUAAGCGAGGUUCUCGAACUGCUAGCGACUUAGCUUCGGUGAGGUCGCCGUGUGGGAAGUGAACCUAGCUUUGGUGUCUAGAGGAAGUAAAAGUCGUAUCA